UAACAUCCGGAAACGGGUGCUAAUACCGCAUAGUUUCUUGAUCGCAUGAUCGGGAAAGGAAAGACGGCCUUUGUGCUGUCGCUUAUGGAUGGACCCGCGGCGGUAUUAGUUAGUUGGUGAGGUAACGGCUCACCAAGACGAUGAUACGUAGCGACCUGAGAGGGUGAUCGGCCACAUUGGGACUGAGACACGGCCCAAACUCCUACGGGAGGCAGCAGUAGGGAAUCUUCCGCAAUGGACGAAAGUCUGACGGAGCAACGCCGCGUGAGUGAAGAAAGGGUUUUUCGGAUCGUAAAACUCUGUUGUCAGAGAAGAACAAGUUGGAGAGUAACUGCUCCAGCCUUGACGGUAUCUGACCAGAAAGCCACGGCUAACUACGUGCCAGCAGCCGC
RNAcentral lists this ribosomal RNA (392 nucleotides) under uncultured bacterium. RNAcentral's name for it is "bacterial SSU rRNA". It matches the Rfam family "Bacterial small subunit ribosomal RNA", at positions 144 to 518 of the family's 1533-position model. The record is from RNAcentral.